GGUGAGUAACACGUGGAUAACCUACCUAUAAGACUGGGAUAACUUCGGGAAACUGGAGCUAAUACCGGAUAAUAUAUUGAACCGCAUGGUUCAAUAGUGAAAGACGGUUUUGCUGUCACUUAUAGAUGGAUCCGCGCCGCAUUAGCUAGUUGGUAAGGUAACGGCUUACCAAGGCAACGAUGCGUAGCCACCUGAGAGGGUGAUCGGCCACACUGGAACUGAGACACGGUCCAG
This 234-nucleotide ribosomal RNA is filed under the name uncultured Staphylococcus sp. Its description in RNAcentral is "partial 16S ribosomal RNA". It matches the Rfam family "Bacterial small subunit ribosomal RNA", at positions 105 to 334 of the family's 1533-position model. The record is from RNAcentral. Lineage: Bacteria; Bacillati; Bacillota; Bacilli; Caryophanales; Staphylococcaceae.